UCGGGAAUUUUGGGCAAUGGGCGAAAGCCUGACCCAGCAACGCCGCGUGAAGGAUGAAGUAUUUCGGUAUGUAAACUUCGAAAGAAUAGGAAGAAUAAAUGACGGUACUAUUUAUAAGGUCCGGCUAACUACGUGCCAGCAGCCGCGGUAAUACGUAGGGACCAAGCGUUGUUCGGAUUUACUGGGCGUAAAGGGCGCGUAGGCGGCAAUUCAAGUCAUCUGUGAAAUCUCCGGGCUUAACUCGGAACGGUCAGAUGAUACUGCUUUGCUAGAGUGCAGAAGGGGCAAUCGGAAUUCUUGGUGUAGCGGUGAAAUGCGUAGAUAUCAAGAGGAACACCUGAGGUGAAGACGGGUUGCUGGGCUGACACUGACGCUGAGGCGCGAAAGCUAGGGGAGCAAA
Molecule: ribosomal RNA, 400 nt
Filed under: uncultured bacterium
Lineage: Bacteria
Description: bacterial SSU rRNA
Rfam family: Bacterial small subunit ribosomal RNA
Source: RNAcentral